ACGGAAGGCAGCAGUGGGGGAUAUUGCACAAUGGAGGAAACUCUGAUGCAGCAACGCCGCGUGAGGGAAGAAGGUCUUCGGAUUGUAAACCUAAGUUAUCAGGGACGAAGUCAAUGACGGUACCUGAAGAGAAAGCUCCGGCUAACUACGUGCCAGCAGCCGCGGUAAUACGUAGGGAGCGAGCGUUGUCCGGAUUUACUGGGUGUAAAGGGUGCGUAGGCGGGCUUGCAAGUCAGGCGUGAAAUCCCGCGGCUUAACUGCGGGGCUGCGCUUGAAACUGUAAGUCUUGAGUGAAGUAGAGGCAAGCGGAAUUCCUAGUGUAGCGGUGAAAUGCGUAGAUAUUAGGAAGAACAUCAGUGGCGAAGGCGGCUUACUGGACUGUAACUGACGUUGAGGCGCGAAAGCGUGGGGAGCAAACAGGAUUAGAUACCCUGGUA
This 437-nucleotide ribosomal RNA is filed under the name uncultured Clostridiales Family IV bacterium. RNAcentral's name for it is "bacterial SSU rRNA". It matches the Rfam family "Bacterial small subunit ribosomal RNA", at positions 341 to 792 of the family's 1533-position model. The record is from RNAcentral. Lineage: Bacteria; Bacillati; Bacillota; Clostridia; Eubacteriales; Eubacteriales Family IV. Incertae Sedis.